RNAcentral lists this ribosomal RNA (492 nucleotides) under uncultured bacterium. RNAcentral's name for it is "partial 16S ribosomal RNA". It matches the Rfam family "Bacterial small subunit ribosomal RNA", at positions 29 to 507 of the family's 1533-position model. The record is from RNAcentral.
AGUGAACGCUGGCGGUAGGCCUAACACAUGCAAGUCGAACGGCAGCACAGUAAGAGCCUGCUCUUACGGGUGGCGAGUGGCGGACGGGUGAAGAAUACAUCGGAAUCUACUUUUUCGUGGGGGAUAACGUAGGGAAACUUACGCUAAUACCGCAUACGACCUACGGGUGAAAGCAGGGGAUCUUCGGACCUUGCGCGAUUGAAUGAGCCGAUGUCGGAUUAGCUAGUUGGCGGGGUAAAGGCCCACCAAGGCGACGAUCCGUAGCUGGUCUGAGAGGAUGAUCAGCCACACUGGAACUGAGACACGGUCCAGACUCCUACGGGAGGCAGCAGUGGGGAAUAUUGGACAAUGGGCGCAAGCCUGAUCCAGCCAUACCGCGUGGGUGAAGAAGGCCUUCGGGUUGUAAAGCCCUUUUGUUGGGAAAGAAAAGCAGCAGGUUAAUACCCCGCUGUUCUGACGGUACCCAAAGAAUAAGCACCGGCUAACUUCGUG